This 462-nucleotide ribosomal RNA is filed under the name uncultured bacterium. Its description in RNAcentral is "partial 16S ribosomal RNA". It matches the Rfam family "Bacterial small subunit ribosomal RNA", at positions 28 to 507 of the family's 1533-position model. The record is from RNAcentral.
GACGAACGCUGGCGGCGUGCUUAACACAUGCAAGUCGAACGGAAAGGCCCUUCGGGGUACUCGAGUGGCGAACGGGUGAGUAACACGUGGGUGAUCUGCCCUGCACUUUGGGAUAAGCCUGGGAAACUGGGUCUAAUACCGAAUAGGACCACGCGCUUCAUGGUGUGUGGUGGAAAGCUUUUGCGGUGUGGGAUGGGCCCGCGGCCUAUCAGCUUGUUGGUGGGGUAAUGGCCUACCAAGGCGACGACGGGUAGCCGGCCUGAGAGGGUGACCGGCCACACUGGGACUGAGAUACGGCCCAGACUCCUACGGGAGGCAGCAGUGGGGAAUAUUGCAUAAUGGGCGCAAGCCUGAUGCAGCGACGCCGCGUGAGGGAUGACGGCCUUCGGGUUGUAAACCUCUUUCAAUAGGGACGAAGCGCAAGUGACGGUACCUAUAGAAGAAGCACCGGCCAACUACGUG